AUGGAGCACUCAUCUUCUCAAAGCUUCACAAGCAUGAUGAACUCCUCCUUCUCACCUUCAGAUGCACAGAGCCCAAACAACCUGCAAAAUCCACAGAGCCCAAUUAGUUUCCAUCCCCAUCAUCCACAUAUGAAUUAUCCACCCACACAUUAUAUUCCCAGUUUCCAGCAUCAACACCCACACCAUGCAAAUUUAUAUGCUCAAGGAGGUUACCAGCAAGUUCCAUCCAUACCUCCAGGCUACCAUGGUGUUGCUUACCAAGGUAACAUGGGGCAGUACCCUCCAGGAGCAUUUGGAGCAGGCUCAAGUAGCAGUCCAGCAUCUCCUGCUGGAUGCAUACCUUUUCUUGGAUCUGCUAGAGGCACUAGUUCAAGAGGAGAUGAGAAUAGUCCAGUUGGAUUUAGUUCUCCCAUGUCACCUGCAUAUCAAGUGGAUGAAGAUCCGGCUGUCAAUAAUCAAGAUGGCAGUGAUAGUAGUCCUGAUGAGAUUCAGAAAAAAGGAAAAGGCAAGAACUGGAGUAAGCGUGAGGAUGAACUUCUCAUAGCAGCUUGGGUGCACAAUUCAUGUGAUCCGAUUGAUGGAAACUCCAAAAGGGCAGAGACCUAUUGGAAGGAAGUCGCAGCAGAGUACAACAAAUAUGCAACAAAAGAGCAGAAGAAAACAGUUGGGCAAUGCAAGAACCACUGGACCAAGACCACAAAGAAGGUUACAAAGUUCAAUGAUAUCUACAAUGUUGAAAAAAGUACGUGGCCUAGUGGGAGCGAUGACAAGCAACUUAUGGAGAGGGUACGUGCCAAAUACAUGAGUGUUGCCAAGACAAAAAGACCCUUUCCAUAUGAGCACUGGUGGGAGUACGUGAGGAAAGAGGCUAAAUGGACAAGGUCUUAUUCAGUUGAAGAGAUGAACAAAAGAAACAAGUUGAAUGCAUCAGGAGCUUAUAGUUCUUCAACCCAGGCAAUAGAUGAGGAAGGUGAACUUCAACGACCCCCCGGACGCAACACUUCAAAAGACAUAAAAGAUAAACAUAAGUCAUCAAGCAAGUCUAAAUGCUCUGGAAGCUUGACAAGUGAGAGCAUGGACAAAUUUAAUGAGAUUCAACUACGAAAAUCAAUUGCUGCAGAGAAAAUGGCCGAUGCCACCCUUUUUCAAGCAGAAGCCACAAAAGUUCAAGCAGAAGCUGAGAAAGAAAGAGUUGAACACUACCUUGCUGCUAAAUUUUAUUAUUUCUUGCUGCUAAAUUUUAUUAUUUCUUGCUGCUAA
RNAcentral lists this ribosomal RNA (1260 nucleotides) under Triticum aestivum (bread wheat). RNAcentral's name for it is "partial small subunit ribosomal RNA". Lineage: Eukaryota; Viridiplantae; Streptophyta; Magnoliopsida; Poales; Poaceae. The record is from RNAcentral.